Molecule: long non-coding RNA, 973 nt
Organism: Pseudoliparis swirei
Lineage: Eukaryota; Metazoa; Chordata; Actinopteri; Perciformes; Liparidae
Exons: 3
Source: RefSeq, a predicted model, not a curated record
CUGGAUCUGAUUCCCCAAGCCGUGUGGAUCUGUCUAACUCAUGAACUUCUUCUCCAAGGUAGGUUUACUUUAUUAAAUAUGACUUAGUUCAUUAUAUGUGUUUUUACUCUAAACACACGUGUGUUGCAACAGUAGCAAAAACCGUUUCUCCGUUAUUCAGAUGGUACUACUUUAUAUGACAAGAUCGCUAGCUGCUCAUGCUAGCUAUAGUAGCUAUCAGUUGAGCUCUCGGGCUGUAACAUGUACAGACGAGAUCAGAAGCUCCCUCGUGUCCCCAAACCUCCACGAUACACGUAAGAAAGCUGUAUAUUGUUAACGUGUUUCCCGUUUAUGUCGGCGGGUUGUAUCUGUGAAACUAGCUCUGUUUAUCUAACUCUGCUGUGGUCUCACGGCGGCAAUUUACUUCCGGGUUGAGCUCGGCGAGAAAGAGCGGAUAUCACGAGCUGACUCGCGUCCCAAACCUCCGCGAUACACGUAAGAAAGCUGUGUGUUGUUAACGUGUUAAUCAUUUUAAUUCGGCGGGUUGUAUCUGAAACUAGCUCUGUUUACAUAACUGACGCUGUCUUCCGGCGGCAUUUGACUUCCGGUUUGUGAUCGGCGAAGAAGAGCGGAUAUAACGAGCUGACUCGCGUCCCAAACCUUCGUGUUACACGUGACACACAAUCAGGCUCCUGCUGUGGCAGUGGACACGGAGACGCCUUUAGACUGGACUACCUAUGAUGGAUGUGACCCAAAUAGAGCUACCGUCAGGAAGGCCACGGGUCCAGACGGCAUCAGCUCAAGGCUCCUCAAAUCCUGUGCAGACCAGCUGUGCGGGAUAGUGGAGCACGUCUUCAACUUGAGCUUGAGGCUGGGGAAAGUACCACAGCUGUGGAAGACCUCCUGUGUGGUACCAGUACCGAAGACCCCGCGGCCCAAGGACCUCAACAGCUUCAGGCCGGUGGCAUUAACAUCACACCUGAUGGAGAGGUUG